RNAcentral lists this ribosomal RNA (502 nucleotides) under uncultured Arenimonas sp. RNAcentral's name for it is "bacterial SSU rRNA". It matches the Rfam family "Bacterial small subunit ribosomal RNA", at positions 521 to 1021 of the family's 1533-position model. The record is from RNAcentral. Lineage: Bacteria; Pseudomonadati; Pseudomonadota; Gammaproteobacteria; Lysobacterales; Lysobacteraceae.
UAAUACGAAGGGUGCAAGCGUUACUCGGAAUUACUGGGCGUAAAGCGUGCGUAGGUGGUUCGUUAAGUCUGUCGUGAAAGCCCCGGGCUCAACCUGGGAAUGGCGAUGGAUACUGGCGAGCUAGAGUGCGGUAGAGGAGAGUGGAAUUCCCCGGUGUAGCAGUGAAAUGCGUAGAGAUCGGGAGGAACAUCAGUUGCGAAGGCGGCUCUCUGGACCAGCACUGACACUGAGGCACGAAAGCGUGGGAGCAAACAGGAUUAGAUACCCUGGUAGUCCACGCCCUAAACGAUGCGAACUGGACGUUGGGAGCAAUUAGGCUCUCAGUGUCGAAGCUAACGCGUUAAGUUCGCCGCCUGGGGAGUACGGUCGCAAGACUGAAACUCAAGGGAAUUGACGGGGGCCCGCACAAGCGGUGGAGUAUGUGGUUUAAUUCGAUGCAACGCGCAGAACCUUACCUGGCCUUGACAUCCACGGAAUCCUUGAGAGAUCAGGGAGUGCCUUC